Molecule: transfer RNA, 68 nt
Filed under: Marmota monax (woodchuck)
Lineage: Eukaryota; Metazoa; Chordata; Mammalia; Rodentia; Sciuridae
Description: tRNA.Val
Source: RNAcentral
GGAUUGUGGCUUAGUGGUAGAGUGCUUGCCUAACAUAUGUGAGGCACUGGGUUCAAUUCUCAGCACCA